Humulus lupulus (European hop) is the source of this 889-nucleotide long non-coding RNA. RefSeq lists it as uncharacterized. The transcript has 4 exons. The record is from RefSeq and is a predicted model, not a curated record. NCBI's taxonomy places the organism in Eukaryota, Viridiplantae, Streptophyta, Magnoliopsida, Rosales, Cannabaceae.
AGGAGGCUUUUGAAUGUGGUAGUAUCUUGGUAAUGGUUGCUCUCCAUUGGUCUUCUACAAUCAUUGCACUUGAUCUUGUGUAUUGUGUGUGAUUUGGCAGAUUUUAGAGUGUGCAAAUGGCUCAAGAUGUGAUGGGAAACAUGGGAGCCCGAUUACUACUGCGACCGCUUAGGAGUUUAUUGGGCGAUAUCAAUUUUUGGUGCCGUUGCCAGGGAGGUAAUUCUACAAUUAAAGGAAAAUAGAUAUGGGAAGAAGGAUUCGUAGUAGCUUGGCUUGUGUAUUAAGGAUGAAGGGAUUCGAUGGGCUGCGUGAUGAUUCGAGGACGACGUUAUUUUUAGUCUCUUUAAAUUAUGUUUUUAUGUAUUUUUCACAUUUAGCUUUGUAAACAAUUUCCUUUAGUUCAAAGUUAUGUUUUAUUUUAAUACAAUGGGAUCCCACACCCCGCAUUUAUAUAUUUCAAUAUUUACUUUGGAGUUUUUAAUAAAGUUGUGUGAAUAUUUCUUAUGUAUGUUUUCUCAAAAAUAGUCCAAGGUCUUAGAAUUAGUUGGGUCAUUACAGUUGGUAUCAGAGCAAUGAUUCAUUCGCAUGAAGUUCUCCUUGAUACACAUGCUCAAGCUCUGAAUCUAACUGCCAAUGAAAAUAGUUAUGAUGGUGGAAGGAUUCAUGGCAGCUUGGGGUUGUGUAUUGAGGAAGAAUGGAGUUGAUGGACUGUGUGAACGAUUCGAGGACGACGUUGUUUAUAGUCUUUUUAAUUAUGUUUUCUAUGUAUUUUCCGCACUUGAUUUUGUAACAAAUUUAUUUAAGAUUUAAGUUAUGUUUUAUUUUCAAACAAUAGGAUCCCAUACCAUGAAUUUAUGUACUUCAACAUUUUCUUAGAGUUUUUAAUAAA